UUCCUUACAAAGCUUUGAUCAUGGCUCUAGNAUUGAACGCUGGCGGCAGGCUUACACACAUGCAGGCCGAGCGGGAUGAGAGGAGCUUGACUCUCCGAGUUCAGCGGCGGACGGGUGAGGUAAUGCCUAGGAAUCUGCCUGGCUAGUGGCGGGACAACGUUUCGAAAGGAACGCUAAUACCGCAUACGUCCUACGGGAGAAAGCAGGGGACCUUCGGGCCUUGCGCUAUCAGAUGAGCCUAGGUCGGAUUAGCUAGUUGGUGAGGUAAUGGCUCACCAAGGCGACGAUCCGUAACUGGUCUGAGAGGAUGAUCAGUCACACUGGAACUGAGACACGGUCCAGACUCCUACGGGAGGCAGCAGUGGGGAAUAUUGGACAAUGGGCGAAAGCCUGAUCCAGCCAUGCCGCGUGUGUGAAGAAGGUCUNUCGGAUUGUAAAGCACUUUAAGUUGGGAGGACGGGUUGCACGUUAAUACCGUGCAAUUUUGACGUUACCGACGGAAUAAAGCACCGGGCUAACUCUGUGCCA
This 528-nucleotide ribosomal RNA is filed under the name uncultured bacterium. RNAcentral describes it as "bacterial SSU rRNA". It matches the Rfam family "Bacterial small subunit ribosomal RNA", at positions 1 to 510 of the family's 1533-position model. The record is from RNAcentral.